This 371-nucleotide ribosomal RNA is filed under the name uncultured organism. RNAcentral's name for it is "bacterial SSU rRNA". It matches the Rfam family "Bacterial small subunit ribosomal RNA", at positions 526 to 896 of the family's 1533-position model. The record is from RNAcentral.
CGAAGGGGGCGAGCGUUGUUCGGAAUUACUGGGCGUAAAGGGCGCGCAGGCGGCGAGUUUUGUCAGGCGUGAAAGCCCCGGGCUCAACCUGGGAACUGCGCUUGAAACGGGCUUGCUGGAGACCGGGAGAGGAGAGUGGAAUUCCCAGUGUAGAGGUGAAAUUCGUAGAUAUUGGGAAGAACACCGGUGGCGAAGGCGGCUCUCUGGACCGGAUCUGACGCUGAGGCGCGAAAGCGUGGGGAGCAAACAGGAUUAGAUACCCUGGUAGUCCACGCUGUAAACGAUGUGUGCUAGACGUUGGGGAGCCUAGCUCUUCGGUGUCGCAGCUAACGCGGUAAGCACACCGCCUGGGGAGUACGGCCGCAAGGUUA